Molecule: RNA transcript, 4969 nt
Organism: Marmota monax (woodchuck)
Lineage: Eukaryota; Metazoa; Chordata; Mammalia; Rodentia; Sciuridae
Gene: Pex2
Gene name: peroxisomal biogenesis factor 2
Exons: 5
Source: RefSeq, a predicted model, not a curated record
CCUUCGGUCCUUCGGCUCUUCGGCCCUUCGGCUCCUGCGAGUUCUCCGUCUCGGGGCCCUCUCGGGCCUUCUGCACUGCUCUAAAGCGUAGUGCUCACGGGUGGUAUUAUUUCCUUUUUUUUUUUUUUCCCCAGCCACUUCCGGGUCCUGCGUCGCUCCGGAAGCCCGCGAGUUCCGGAAGCCCGGGUAACCCACAUUCAGCCAGGAAAAAGCCAAGCUUUCCAGAGUAUGUUUCAGAAAAAGUUACGUGGAGCGUGGGCGUUUCGCAGACUCCUAAGGUCCCAGCAAGUAUGAGGCAAGGAUUUCACAGAGGAACUUGUAGAAAAAGUCUCCAUUGCCAUAGUAGAGGGCUGUCAAGUCUUGAAGGAGCUGCAGGAAAGGGGAAAAGGUGAGAUCUCCCCAGAAGGCUCUUGGCAUUUAUGGCUGUCAUUCCUUUCAUGAGGAGGGCCAAGAAGAAAACAAAAAGUAAUAGAAAAGAAAAGGGAGAACAAAAGAAAGGAAGAAAGAAGAGAGAAAAGAGAGAGAAAGAAGUUCCAAAGACCUUCAGAGAGGACAUGGCACCCAGAGAAGAGAAUACAAAGAGUACAGACAGAGUACUCAGAAUAAGUCAGUUGGAUGCGCUGGAACUAAACAAGGCCCUGGAGCAGCUGGUUUGGUCCCAGUUUACUCAGUGUUUUCAUGGAUUUAAGCCAGGCCUAUUUGCUCGCUUUGAACCAGAAGUAAAAGCGUUCUUGUGGCUUUUUUUGUGGAGAUUCACCAUCUACUCUAAAAAUGCUACUGUGGGACAGUCAGUUUUGAAUAUUCAGUACAAAGACAGUUUUUCCCAGAGCCUGAGAUAUCAGCCACCAAGUAAAAACCAGAAAAUCUGGUAUGCUGUCUGUACCAUUGGUGGGAGGUGGUUAGAAGAACGAUGCUACGAUUUGUUUCGAAACCAUCAUUUAGCAUCCUUUGGGAAACUUAAACAGUGUGCAAAUUUUGUGGUUGGACUUUUGAAAUUAGGUGGGUUAAUUAAUUUUUUGAUUUUCCUUCAACGGGGAAAGUUUGCAACUUUGACAGAACGUCUUCUAGGCAUUAAUUCUAUAUUUUGCAGGCCCCAAAAUGCCCGAGAAGUUGGUUUUGAGUACAUGAAUAGGGAACUUCUCUGGCAUGGUUUUGCUGAGUUUCUAAUUUUUCUCUUACCACUUAUAAAUAUCCAGAAAUUGAAAGCCAAGUUAUCCUCAUGGUGUAUCCCUCUUACUGGUGCUUCUAAUAGUGACAGUACAUUAGCCACCAGUGGCAAAGAAUGUUCUUUGUGUGGAGAGUGGCCCACCAUGCCUCACACCAUAGGAUGUGAACAUAUCUUCUGUUAUUACUGUGUUAAGAGUAGUUUCUUAUUUGACAUGUACUUUACUUGUCCUAAGUGUGGCACAGAGGUACAUAGUGUACAGCCACUGAAAUCAGGAAUUGAGAUGUCAGAAGUGAAUGUUCCUUAGAAAGUAAAAUUGUUUCCUUUGAGGAAAACUGUAUUAUGUGUAAAUUCUUAAUGUUAGUCAUCCUAAGUAUGGUACUUAGAUGUCUCUUAUAAGGCUGGUACUUCCCAGUCAACGUCUUCUCUUCCUUUGGAGAGAUGACUAAAUUCUAAUCACUGUAAACCACAUGAUUCUAAAUAUAUUAUGUAAAAUAUUUUAAAUUAUUGCAUUCAAUUUUUACUAUCAGGAAUAAAGGAGAGUUUUUGUCAUAUGACUACCAAGAAAGAGUUGGGUUACACUGGGAUGUGUAUAGAUUUAUUUUCAGAGAUGAUAAAAUAUCAUAAUCUGACAAUGAUAAGGCCCUGUUUAAACUUUUAAGAUUGUAAUUUUAAACUUUUCUCUGAAGCCAGUUUUCAAGAGGUUCACUCCAUAGCUGUUGGACCCCUUCACAGUUGACUUCUUAGGUAUAAAAAGUAAAAAUUGCUUAAGGCAGUUAGAAGUGAGGCUACAGGGGACACCUGGCAAGAAGAAUAUUAUUUCCUGGAUCUCUUUCUUUAGUCUUUGAUUCAGAGCUUAUGUUCUCAGCAAGAAUAUUGGUAGUUUUAUGAAAUACCAGAGGUCUUUAGCAUAGUAAUAAUACAGGAGUACAUAUCAAGAUGUACUUUGCUCCUUUUCUCUGCAUUUUUCACUUAGAAGUUAAAAAUUAAUGUUUUGCUAAAUAAUAAUCACAUGAAAAUAUUUGGACAGUUUUUAAGUUACUUUAACAAAAUAAUGGCACUGAUUUUUAAACAAGAUAUCAAUUUUUUUGUGCUUUGACAAUAAAUCAAAAUAUAAAAUAAAAUAAAUUGUGCUUUGAUUAAAAUAUACAUAUACAUGUAUAUACAGACAUAUGUUAGGAAUAAUUCACAUGUAGCUAAAGUUGGGCGUAGGAUAGUCAUGACUACUCUGAAAGAAUUAUUACACAGGUGAAACACAACACAAGCAUAUUAAUUUUUUUCUUUUUUUUUUAAAUUCUUAAAGUGGAAUAGAAUUAGCAUGAGCAGUGAUUUGUCUCAAGUUAUUCAUUAUAUAGUAAGCACUUUCCUAGAAUAAAUAUAGUACAGUGAAAAUACAGGAUAACUUGUUCAUUUUUCUCUUCACCUUCCAUUCAGCAAACACUUAGGUGCCAGGUACUGAGGAAGCUACUGUGAAUAUAAUGGUGAGUACAGGAAAAAUAGUCAUCAUCAUGUAGUUUACCUUGUGUGAUUAAAUGGAUUUUUGAGUUUAACUUUGGUUUAAUUUAAAUAAGAUAGCCAAUGAAUUUUGUUGUUUGAAUGUAAGAGUUUUUCAUAUAUUACAAAGUUUACCUUUUUUCUUCUCUAAUUUUAAAACAUUAUUGUUAAAAACUUAGGAAAAAAUGAAAUUUUCAUUUUUUUACCCACCGAUCAUCACAGUAUACUGGUUCAUUUGAUGGUACGCACAUUUCUUAUUUACAGAAUCAUUUAACCUCUGUCAUUGGGCAUUUAGAUUCUAUCUACUUUCUAUAGUAAAUAAACACAGUGAUGAAUCUGGAAUAUCGUCAGGCCUCUUAGUUUCCACGAUAUAAACCAAUCCAGAUUGAAUUGGCAAAAAGGAAAAUAAUUUAUUGAAUUAUCUCAGUGAAGGAUCCGCAUGUACACUGCAGGGCCAGUCUGGUUAUACGUGCUCAAAUAAUCGUCUUCGAAUAGUCUCUCGGCCAUAAUUUUAUGAUAAACACUGUACAUGGUAUGAGGGAUAUGAACUCAGGUUCAACCUGUGCAGUUCAGUUAGAUGUAGUCUGGGCAAUGCACUUAAUCUCUACACUGGUACAUUGUGAGGCUUGUGUUUAAGAUAUAAUAGUAGUUCCUUCCAUUAAUGGUAAUAUUCUGAGUUGGCUUCAUUCUCAGGCAAAAUGAUGUCCACUUUUGAUGCUUAAGGUUUAUAUUCUGCCAGCUUUCUGAUUCCACUGAAAUGACAUUCCUCUUCCUGGUAGUUCCAGCAAGAGUUCUGUAUUAUUGGUUUGUCUUGGAUUACACACAUUUCUAAACCAGUUACCACAGGAAAAGUGAUAAAAAAUACUGUUCCCACUUACUCAAAUGUUGCUGACAUUCCCUAUGUAUACAACAUGAACCUAAUGGUGCUGAGGGGAGGCUGCUCAUCACAGAAAACCAAGCUGCUCUUAUAAGAAGGAUGGAUACUGGGUAGAUAAAAAGAAGAGAUCACUAAUAAAGUUUACAUUUGUCCUUAUUAUACCUAAAGUCCAUUUGCAGUCUCAUUUUCCAGUGACCUAGUUUAUACUGAUAUUAAUAAACAACUGUCUUAGAAUACAGGUUUGAAAUGAUUAAAUGAAGUCAAGAUUUUGUUAAACCAACAAUUUUAUUGUUAUUGUUAUUUGAUAGCUGAGUAAACUCUAAAGUAGAUGCCCCUAUUUUAAUUUUAACAUGAGAACAUAGUACUUUAAAUGCUAGCUAAUAAAGUUGUCAAUUUUAUGGAGUCUUUUUUUCUUUUCUCCCCCUUUAGACUGAGUUGCACUGUGUUGUCCUGGUUGGCCUGAUCUCAACCUCCUAGGCCUAAGUGAUCCUUCUGCCUCAGCCUCCCCAGUAGCUGGGGCUACUUUUUAAAUUUUUAAAAAAGCUCUAUUUAACAUUUGCAACCUUCAGAACCUUGAGUUCAGAAACUGAAUGAAUGUUUUGUUCUUCAUUGGAUAACCAGAACCUUUAGUUCUAGCAUACCAAUAUAGAAAUCUUAGCCAAAUAAAUAAACUUAGUGUUGCAGAUUGAGCUCUAUGGAAGCAGAGGUUCAAAGUGAUUGGAAAUGCUAGACAGAUGCAGUCAUUUUUCAGUAUUGGUGGGAGAUAGGUUUUAGAAUCUCUGCAGGUAUACCAAAAUUGCAGGUGCUCAAGUUCCUCAUAUAAAAUGGCAGAGUGUUUGCAUAUAACCAUAUACAUCCUCCCAUAUACUAUAAAUCAUCUAUAGACUACCUAUGAUACUUAAUGCACUAUGAAUAGUUAUGAUGUAUUGUUUAGGGAAUAAUCUGAAAAAUGCUUUACAUAUUCAGUACAGAUGUGAUGUUAUUUUAAUAUUUUUUAAUCUGUGAUUGCUUGUAUUUGCAGAUGCAGAAGGAAGCUGUGAACACAGAAAUCUAUAAAUCAAGGAUCCAUACCUUGAAAGGAAAAGGCAGAAAAGAUGCUUGACAUACCACACACCAGUGGAAGGUAAUCAGUGAAUUUAUGACUGACUGAAAUACUCUCAUGCUUGCUCCCGGAGCUCUGCCUCACUGCAGAUAGCCAGGCCUCUUGGGCACAUUACAGUUCCAGAGACUCCGUUCAGUCCCGGCCUCCCUGGGCAAUGCCAAAAGACUAUAUUUUUAACACUGAGGCAACUGAUUCUACUGCCCAGUGACUUCAGGGCUCAACAGGGAGGAAAACUGGAUCAUAUUUAGCUACAUGGGUUUCUUCUUUAGCCUCAAGAAUCAAACCAUCAGUUAUAAGUUUUCCCUUUGGAAAAUAAAAACUUUUACACUAA